This 471-nucleotide ribosomal RNA is filed under the name Hepatozoon canis. Its description in RNAcentral is "bacterial SSU rRNA". It matches the Rfam family "Eukaryotic small subunit ribosomal RNA", at positions 225 to 686 of the family's 1831-position model. The record is from RNAcentral. Lineage: Eukaryota; Apicomplexa; Hepatozoidae.
UGCAUGCUUUUACAGUAUGGAAAUUGGUGAUUUAUAAUAACUUGGCAAAUCGCAAAGUGAAAACAGGCGAUAAAUCAUUCAAGUUUCUGACCUAUCAGCUUUCGACGGUAUGGUAUUGGCUUACCGUGGCAGUGACGGUUAACGGGGGAUUAGGGUUCGAUUCCGGAGAGGGAGCCUGAGAAACGGCUACCACAUCUAAGGAAGGCAGCAGGCGCGCAAAUUACCCAAUUCUAACAGUUUGAGAGAGGUAGUAACAAGAAAUAACAAUACAAGGCAAUUAAAAUGCUUUGUAAUUGGAAUGAUAGAAAUUUAAACCCUUUUUAAAGUAUCAAUUGGAGGGCAAGUCUGGUGCCAGCAGCCGCGGUAAUUCCAGCUCCAAUAGCGUAUAUUAAAAUUGUUGCAGUUAAAAAGCUCGUAGUUGAAGUUCUGCUAAAAGUAACCGGUCUGCUUUUAAUAAAAGUGGUAUCUUGG